GACGAACGCUGGCGGCGUGCCUAAUACAUGCAAGUCGAGCGCAUGAAACUUUUGGAUCCCUUCGGGGUGAAGACUGUGGAUUGAGCGGCGGACGGGUGAGUAACACGUGGGCAACCUGCCUGUAAGCCUGGGAUAACUUCGGGAAACCGGAGCUAAUACCGGAUAAUCAUGGACACCACAUGGUGUCUUUGUGAAAGAUGGUUCUGCCAUCACUUACAGAUGGGCCCGCGGCGCAUUAGCUAGUUGGUAGGGUAAUGGCCUACCAAGGCGACGAUGCGUAGCCGACCUGAGAGGGUGAUCGGCCACACUGGGACUGAGACACGGCCCAGACUCCUACGGGAGGCAGCAGUAGGGAAUCUUCGGCAAUGGACGAAAGUCUGACCGAGCAACGCCGCGUGAGCGAUGAAGGUCUUCGGAUCGUAAAGCUCUGUUGUCAGAGAAGAACAAGUGGUAGAGGAAAUGCUAUCACCUUGACGGUAUCUGACCAGAAAGCCCCGGCUAACUACGUGCCAGCCGCCGCCGUAACAC
RNAcentral lists this ribosomal RNA (528 nucleotides) under uncultured bacterium. Its description in RNAcentral is "bacterial SSU rRNA". It matches the Rfam family "Bacterial small subunit ribosomal RNA", at positions 28 to 526 of the family's 1533-position model. The record is from RNAcentral.